AUUGAACGCUGGCGGCAUGCUUUACACAUGCAAGUCGAACGGUAACAGGCCUUCGGGUGCUGACGAGUGGCGAACGGGUGAGUAAUGCAUCGGAACGUACCCAGAGGUGGGGGAUAACGCAGCGAAAGCUGUGCUAAUACCGCAUGUGAUCUGAGGAUGAAAGCGGGGGACCGAGCAGCAAUGUUUGGCCUCGCGCCUUUGGAGCGGCCGAUGUCGGAUUAGCUAGUUGGUGGGGUAAAGGCCUACCAAGGCGACGAUCCGUAGCUGGUCUGAGAGGACGACCAGCCACACUGGGACUGAGACACGGCCCAGACUCCUACGGGAGGCAGCAGUGGGGAAUUUUGGACAAUGGGCGCAAGCCUGAUCCAGCAAUGCCGCGUGCGGGAAGAAGGCCUUCGGGUUGUAACCCGCUUUUGGCAGGAACGAAACGGUGUCCGCUAAUACCGGGCGCUAAUGACGGUACCUGCAGAAUAAGCACCGGCUAACUACGUG
RNAcentral lists this ribosomal RNA (492 nucleotides) under uncultured bacterium. RNAcentral describes it as "partial 16S ribosomal RNA". It matches the Rfam family "Bacterial small subunit ribosomal RNA", at positions 29 to 507 of the family's 1533-position model. The record is from RNAcentral.